RNAcentral lists this ribosomal RNA (322 nucleotides) under uncultured Bacteroidota bacterium. Its description in RNAcentral is "bacterial SSU rRNA". It matches the Rfam family "Bacterial small subunit ribosomal RNA", at positions 28 to 351 of the family's 1533-position model. Lineage: Bacteria; Pseudomonadati; Bacteroidota. The record is from RNAcentral.
GAUGAACGCUAGCGGGAGGCUUAACACAUGCAAGUCGAGGGGCAGCACGUCUUCGGAUGGUGGCGACCGGCGCACGGGUGAGUAACGCGUAUGCAACCUUCCUUUAACUGGGGGAUAGCCCGGAGAAAUUCGGAUUAAUACCCCAUAACAUCAUAGAAAGGCAUCUUUCAGUGAUUAAAGCUCCGGCGGUUAAAGAUGGGCAUGCGUACCAUUAGCUAGUUGGUGAGGUAACGGCUCACCAAGGCUACGAUGGUUAGGGGGUCUGAGAGGAUGAUCCCCCACACUGGUACUGAGACACGGACCAGACUCCUACGGGAGGCAG